GAACUAGAUGACCCACUGAUCUUGAUACAUGAAGUGUCCAACCUUCAUGCUGUGGCGAAAGUGUUGGAGUUAGCUCUGAAGUCUGAUGGCCCAUAAUUUCUGCUAAAACAGAAGCAAAGGCCUCUGCUUAUUGUUGCAGAGGAUUUAGAAAGUGAGGCAUUGGGUACUCUGAUUAUUAACAAGCUUUGUGCAGGCAUUAAGGUUUGUGCAGUCAAAGCUCCUGGGUUUGGGGAGAUUGUUAGCACAAGAACAAAGGUUUUGGGACUAGUUUUUCAUUUCCAUUAGCAUCAAACUUCAACAUGGCUGUUGGGGUGUGUGUGUGUGUAUGGGCUAGUAGCUUACACCAUAAGGCAUAGAUUAGAGAUGGCAAUGGUUCCCCGUCCUCCGAUUCCCCGCGGUGAAUCCUCCCAUUAGGAGGCGGGGGUGGUAUAAAAUUUGUCUCCACGGAGGAUUAAACGGAGUAAAAACACCCUCCAUCGGGUCUGGCAGGGGCGGGUCUGGUUCACCGUCCCCCGUCCCCGCUCUCCGUGGAGGCCCGACAUAAUAGUGUAUGUGUAGUUUUACCAUGCAUAUUUGGCCCAUCUGGCCCAUAGAAACCAGGCCCAACACCAAGAAUAUAUAAAGCAUCUGCAAAACCCUAGCCAUUCCAAUCCUUCUCCCUUCUGUGUUCCUUCCCUAGUCCCCACGUCGGCGCCGACUCCCGAUCUCGUAGGCAGGCCCGCCGCGCGCCUGCCGCUCGGCACCCGCGCCGCUAGGUCGUCGGCUCGCCGCGCGCCCGCGCAGGGCCGCCGGCUCUCCACACCCGCGCCGGCAGGUCCCAGCGCGUCCGCGCCAGGUCGCCGGCUCGCCGCGCCGCCAGGUCCAGGCUUGCCCGCGCAGGGCUGCCGGCUCGCCACACCCGCGCCGGCAGGUCGCGGCGCGCCCGCGCCGCAAGGUCCCGGCGUGCCCGUGUAGGGCCACUGGCUCGCUGCUCCGCCACGCCCCGACGCCGCCGCACGCCCGCACCAGGUCCAAGCGCCGUCCUCCACCCUCCGUCCAUCCACCAGCAAGAAAGGGGAAAACGAUGACCAGCCGCUAGACGCCGCCAUGGCCUCGUCUUCACACUCGCGGGGAUGGAGGCUCCACGGGGAGAAAUUACCCGCACGGAGGCGGUGAUGGUGAAAGAUGUUGCCCCGUUACAUUUCACGGUGAUGGUGAUGGGAAAAAUUCUCCUCCGCGGAGGCGGGUCUGGUGGUGUAACCUCCGACGGGGAAUUCCCCGUUGCCAUCUCUAGCAUAGAUACAUAUGAGAAGAGAUUGCUUACAUCCAAAGGUAGCUAUGCAAAUACCAAAAUAGAUGCUAAACACACAAGACUUAGGCUGUGUUUAGUUCCACGUCAAAAUUGGAAGUUUGAAGAAAUUGGAACGAUGUGACGAAAAAGUUGAAAGUUUAUGUGUGUAGGAAAGUUCGAUGUGACGGAAAAGUUGGAAGUUUGAAUAAAAAAGUUAGAAUCUAAACAAGGCCUUAGGCCGUGUUUAGUUCCCCAUCUAAAAUUCUUUUGAUGUAUACGGACACACAUUUGAAGUAUUAAAUGUAGACUAAUAACAAAACAA
Oryza sativa Japonica Group (Japanese rice) is the source of this 1592-nucleotide long non-coding RNA. RefSeq lists it as uncharacterized. The record is from RefSeq and is a predicted model, not a curated record. NCBI's taxonomy places the organism in Eukaryota, Viridiplantae, Streptophyta, Magnoliopsida, Poales, Poaceae.